GUCUCGGAUAGCUUAAGGGAAGAGCAGUUGACGCAAUACCAACAGCUCCAGGUUCAAGUCCUGGUCUGGGCC
RNAcentral lists this transfer RNA (72 nucleotides) under Cotesia glomerata. Its description in RNAcentral is "tRNA-Leu". It matches the Rfam family "tRNA". From Rfam's summary of the family: Transfer RNA (tRNA) molecules are approximately 80 nucleotides in length. Their secondary structure includes four short double-helical elements and three loops (D, anti-codon, and T loops). The record is from RNAcentral. Lineage: Eukaryota; Metazoa; Arthropoda; Insecta; Hymenoptera; Braconidae.